CCCUAGCACUCGCCGGUCCACUUGUCUCCUUACCUUCUUACUAGCAGGCAGAAGCUCCUGGUAUAUAGUCUGGGACAGAGAAAAGCUGUAUGUAGUGAGUGUAGAAGAAAGGGAACACGCCACAGUGUUAGAGAGACCAAAGUCAGCAUUACCUUAAAGGAUCACUAUAGGGUCGGGAACACAAACAUGAAUUCAUGACCCUAUAGUGUUAACACCACCAUCUAGCCCCCCUGGGCCCCUCAUGCCACCAUAAAUAUAGCAAAAUCUUACUGUAUUCAAGCCUGAAGUUGUAACUCUGCAUGCUGUUAGACUCAGAAAAACAAGCAGCCUGCUGACAUCAUUAGAAGUGAUGUCCUAAUCCAAUCACAGUGCUUCCCCAUAGGAUUGGCUGAGACUGACAAAGAG
Non-coding RNA from Pelobates cultripes (western spadefoot toad), 405 nucleotides. The record is from the annotation of a GenBank genome assembly. NCBI's taxonomy places the organism in Eukaryota, Metazoa, Chordata, Amphibia, Anura, Pelobatidae.